Molecule: ribosomal RNA, 464 nt
Filed under: uncultured bacterium
Lineage: Bacteria
Description: SSU rRNA
Rfam family: Bacterial small subunit ribosomal RNA
Source: RNAcentral
AGGACUAACGCUGGCGGCGUGCCUAACACAUGCAAGUCGAACGGGGUAGCAAUACCCAGUGGCAGACGGGUGAGUAACACGUGGUCAACCUACCUCUGUGUGGGGGAUAACUAGCCGAAAGGUUAGCUAAUACCGCAUACGAUCGUUUUGAGGCAUCUCGAGACGAUGAAAGGAGCAAUCCGCACGGAGAGGGGACUGCGUCCCAUUAGUUAGUUGGUGGGGUAACGGCCUACCAAGACUCCGAUGGGUAGCUGGCUUGAGAGAGCGACCAGCCACACUGGAACUGAGAAACGGUCCAGACUCCUACGGGAGGCAGCAGUGAGGAAUUUUCCGCAAUGGGCGAAAGCCUGACGGAGCGACGCCGCGUGUGGGAUGAAGGCCUUCGGGUCGUAAACCACUGUCGAAGGGGACGAUAAUGACGGUACCCUUGGAGGAGCCCCGGCUAACUACGUGCCAGCAGCCGC